UAUAAGGUUUUCAUUUGGACCUUCAUUAAAAAUCUUGCCGGAGCUUCGAUCCAAACUUUGAUCCUGAAAAUCUUUGUGUCAUGUUUCAGCUCCACCACCUUCGGUACUGAUACCUCGUCUCCAUUUACCUUCAUUCUUGCCCAUUUAAGAUGAUUCUGAAGCUCAUUUUCCUCCUCUGUCUGAAUCCAUCCACCGCAAAGAUCGCCUAUUUCUUAGAAAAACUUUUGGGACCAGAACUGUAAUGGAAAUCCUACCAACCUGAUCCACACUUGCUUCAGAUUACAUGUUAGAUAGCAUUUGACAUCGACGACGACCAGUUGAGUUGGAAUUUGUGAAUUUUCCAUAACCAGGUUCAUUUCACAAUAUGGUCGGCAUCCUUCUUUGUGGGUAACUGAUUUCAUGCCAUCUCAUAGAUGUUGACACCAUGAAGAUGCUUCCAAGAUCUCGUUGACCAUUGGUUAAUCUCCAACAAGAUGACAUUUGGGAUUUCCUUUGGUAGACUGCCAACCACACACCUAGCCAGUAACUCAUUUUGGGUUCUGUCUGCUUCUUCAGAGAUUACCAAAGACUUUCCUUGUCUGUGGGUUUUAGCCGCAUUCAUUUCUCUUGUGGUCCAUUUGUUGUUUCUGCAUGCAUAUAGUAACCCCUUUUCUGUAUUUCAAUGUAUUAAUGUCUCUGUCCUUUUCCUCUUAGCAUUAAUGACAUUUGUUAUUUUGAAAGCAAUGUCUAGCCACCCUGAGUUGAAUGACCAUUCAGGAAAUUCUAAUGUAGCGCCCGGAUAUGUUGAAAUUUUUGGAGUAAAAGAAUUUUGAGGCAUGAUCAUGAAAUUUCCAUCUUCUGAUCGACUUUCCUUUGGUUUUUGAUUCUUCUCUUAGGAUAAAACUUACCCACUCCAUUGUCUUUUGGCUGAACCUCUAGAAAAGUGCCUAGGAGCACAAAUUAAUCCCAAAGUAUGUAGCGUUUCCUAGUUUAAAAGUUUCCUAGUUUAAAGUUUUCCUAGUUUAAAGUUUACAUAUACUAUGCCUAGAGGUUGACAAGAGCCAUUCAGCUCAUCAAGCAUAUCAUCUAAUCAAGGGAUAACAUGACGAUACUUUACUGUGAUCUUUUUGAUGGCCCGCCAAUCAACAGACAUGCACCAUGUUCCAUCUUUCUUUGGAACCAAGAGAACCGGAACGACGCACAAUGAACUUUCUCUCACAUUGCCCUUGUUGAGGAGUUCCUAAACUCACCUAUGUAACUCUUUGUUGUCCUCCGGAUUACUUUGAUAAAUCGGCUUGUUUAGCUAAUUGUAAGCCAAACUUCAAUUUAGUGCUCAAUUCCCUGAAGAGGGGUAAUCCACUUGAAGCUCCUUUAAGAAGACAUCCUCAUAAUCUUGCUAAAGAAGGGAAAGAAAAUGGGGUACAGAAGAAUGAGAUUGGUUAGUUUGCAAACAUUAUCCGUAUGUGUGAUAAAGAUCAAAGAACAUUUGGCUCCCACUUCCUCCCUGUAUCUUUCUGUACUUAGCCAACAACUCUUGGGCCUUUCUUCUCAACUUCCUCCUUUCUUCCUUUUCACUGCCCUCGACUUCCACAUGUUCUUCCUCAACUCACUCAUCUUCUGAUACAAUUCAUUUAGUUGAGAGGGUGACAUAGGAUGAAGGACAUAUUUAUGAUCAUCCAACACAAGUGAAUAUUUGUUGGUUCUCCCCUCAUGUUUGGUUGAAAAAUCAUAUUGCGGAGGACUUUCGAUUAGCACAUAACAAGCUUGCACUAUAUCACUUAAGUAUCUCAUUUUGGUACUUCCCGAUUUUGAACUUGAUCAACACUUGUCAAUGCUAGCAACGUUGUCACAACUCCUAUGAUCAAUGAUCAAUGAACAUAAUCAUCUUUUAUGAGGCACUUGCAGUGGAAACGAUUCUCCCUUUGACUUGGAUCAUCCAUGGCCUUGCUAAUCAUAACUCGCCUCACCACAUACAUUGGUACACUGAACUCUCCUUCUUCAGGCCAAGCUUCUUUAAUUGUGGCCUUCCUAAUCAAACCAUUAGGAGCGGUGACAUCUUUUCCUUACAUGGGUCUGGUUCCUCAUUUCAUCACCUUCAAUUUCAUCCUCUUCUUGGGUUUCCUCUCCAAAACCCUCCAAGAUCUACCCUUUCACCAAUAUACAAUUCCCCUCCUUGAACUAGCACAUUCAACCGAUUGGGACAUUCAUGCAUCAUAUGACCCCAUCCUCUACACUUGUGACAUUGAAUGCCUCUAGGAAAUUUGGUUGGGUCCUUGUUAACUUCCUCUCUUGGUGGAUACAUUAAUGUGUUAACCUCUACCCUAUGGUUUCUUCUCAUAAGGCUGUUAGAGAUCCUUAUUCUUCUUCCAACCCGAUGUUUGAGCUUCUCCCCUGUUCUUUCUUAAAAGAAUUUGAUGAUGAAAUACCCUUGUACUUAGGUACUUUCUCCUCUCUGAAUUCCCACUCUACCUCAUUGGUCUCUUCGAAGAUGUCAUUCAAUUUAGAAAACUCGUGAUAGUCAUCUUAGAAAAGACCUACCUGGAAGCGAAUAACGACAUGCUCUUCAUUCUCGGUGUAUUCUAGCUUCAAGAUCAAAUUUUGGAGCUCAUCAUAGUAAGCUAACAAUCAACACAUGCACGAAGUUCCAUCUCUCUUUGGAACCAAGAGAACCGGAAUGACGCAUGAACUUAUACUUUUCACAUAGCACUUGUUGAGGAGUUCCUCAACUUGCCUUUGUAACUCUUUGGUGUCCUCCAAAUUACUUCUAUAAGCCACGAUUUAUUUUGAAAUUGUGAGCCCAACAUGAAAUCAAUUUGGUGCUAAUCUCCCCAAAGAGGGAAGCUCCUUUAGGAAGACAUCCUCAUACCCCUACAAAAGAAGGGAAUUAGAAUGGGGUAGAGAAGAAUGAGAAUGGUUAGUUUGCAACACAUGAUCCCUAUGUGAUAAAGAUCAAAUAACUUUUGGCUUCCACUUCCUCCCUUUAUCUCUUUGUACUUAACCAACAACUCUUGAGCCUUUCCUCCGAACUUCCUCCUUUCUUCCUCUUCAUUGCCCUCGGCUUCCAUUUGUUCUUUCUCAACUCGCUCAUCUUUUGAUACACUUCAUUGAAUUGAGAGGGUGACGUAGGAUGAAGGACAUAUUUAUGAUCAUCCAACAAAAGUGAUAUUUGUUAGUUCUCGCCUCUAUGUUUUGUUUACCAAUCAUAUUGCUAAGGUCUUAUGAGUAGCACAUGACAAGCUUGCACUACAUCACAUAAGAAUCUCAUCUUGGUACUUCCCGAUUUUGAACUUGAUCAACACUUGUAUAUGAACCCUCAAUACUCCACACUCACUCAACCAUUGAAGCUUGUAAGGUGUAGCAUGCUUAUGGGUAGGAAGUUCCAAGAAUUUCACUAUAGUAGUGCUAGCAACGUGGGCACAACUCCCACUAUCAAUGAUCGAUGAACAUAAUCAUCUUUAAUGAGGCACUAAGAGUGAAAAAGAUUCUCCCUUUGACUUGGAUCAUCCAUGGCCUUGCUAAUCAUAACUCCCCUCACCACGUACAUUGGUUCGCUGAACUCAUCUUGAGGUUUUUCUACCCGUAUCAAGAUAAUCUUUUUACAGUAAUUUAAAUCAUAUAAUAAAUAAAUGGUUGGGGAUUAACUUAAGAGGGUACUGCUCUCAAUCUUACAACAAAGGUAACCAGUAGCUUUUGAUAGUACAUAGGUAAAAUGCACAUUUAUGGGAAAAUUAUGGCGCAAUCAGACUCUCUAGUGGCAAUAAAUUUGUCAAUUAACAUUGCCACUAGACAUACAUGAAUUAUAUCGCCUUAUAAAGUGUGAGAAGUUUUAACUCACUCUCUACGAUCUAUUGACCAGCAAGGCAAUGCAAAAGUGACCACCUUCCUUGACUUUACAAUUGCUGCAAAUGUUGAUGGUGACUCUCAUGUAAUUCACUUACCCUUCGAUACAACACUAUAGGAAGAAUGGAACAAGCUCUUGGUAGAUGGGAUAAAUGUUUGAAUAGGAGGCCAGCUCGUACCAGAGUAGGGAAGAUUGUCCACGUACUACAAGGGUGAGACAUGGUAGUAAACUUGAAAUUACACAUAGGUUUACCACAAGUUCACAUUCUUUAUAUGAAAAGCAUGAUGAUAUGCAGACCCACAAUCGACGUGCUUUUAUCAUCCCUUUCUCCUCUCAUGUCUUGCUUUUAUCCAUUUCACUUAUCCAGACUCCUAACUGGUCCCUUGAACAUUCUACCUGUAAAUUGAAAUAGUUAUUCAGAGGCAAAUACCGCAAUGUGGCCUGCGAUUUUGGAAUUCUUGAAUUGGAUUUGCAUGGCCUGCAUUAAUCGAUUAUAAGCGGUGGUGCUGUACUUUCUAUCAUCUCUUAAUGAAAUCUAUCAAUUGAUUUUGCUUUCAUAGUUAAUGAGUUGGUGAGCUCACGACAACAAACUGCAUGCUUGGAAGUGUUAAGUUACCAGUAGAUCUGUCAUAUAUGAAACUACUUUAUAUAUAUAGAUAUCGCUUUUGAUGACUGCAGAUAUAUUUUUCUAAGGUGAGCAGCUCCCCAGUUUCAACAGUUAGCUUCUUUAUUCCACAUUGUUUUUGCUCAGUUUUGCUCCAUAUCUUUUCCCUGUACGUCUUCUAGGUUUACUGAUAGAAGUGUUGAUGGUUUGAGCUGGAAUUCUGUUUCUGUGUUUGAUCUUGCCUCUUAGUUUGAUUUAUUUCUCUUAUGUGCAAUUUGGCCUGUUGGGAUAUAUACAUGUUUCGAUUUGAGGUUUGUUUUUCCUAUGCAGGACAUAGUUCUGUAUGUGUGAACUAAGUUUGGGACUUUUGGGUUCUUUAUGCACUGCAGGAAUUUGCUGUUGUGAGGUUUUCUGUUUCAAAAUUUAUUUUUUCAUGUGCUUCAUGUGGACUAUUUGAGCAAAAGCAAGAAAUCAUCUAUACAUCUUUGGACUAACUACAAAAUUUUUGCUCAUAGAUGUGCCAGACAGAGAUACAAUCUCCUUUGCCAUAAAUUCUUAUGCAUGAGUUUAGAAUAAAUUAAUCAGAUAAGGAGGGCUUUUUUUAAUAUCAUUACCAAAUUGGUAAAAUUCAACUUCUCUAAGAAUAAUAAAGCUAACCUCUAGAAUUCAAAUUUGAAAUUACAUUUAUUGACAAACCAUAUGAUAAAUCCAGACGUUUGGUUUUGUUUUAGGUUUAUUUUACGUGCGACAAAUCAAAAGAAGUGGUGGAUCUUAUAUGUACAUAGAUUUGGCUUUUGAAUUUGUUGUUGUUUUGUGUCUUUUUCCUUCAGUUAUGUGGCCCUAGUGACGGUUUGGGAUAGUUUGUACUAUGUUAUUCAUUCUUUUUGAUUGAUGAAGAUUGUGUUCUAGACAAAAUUUAACUUAUUUAAUAGAACCUAUUAUAUCUCAAUAUGUCAUACAGGCCACAAAUUUCUAUGGAAAACAAAAAAUGUAAGAAAACGCUAAUAAGAUACAGUAGACUAAAACGACUGAAACUUUAAUAAUGACAUUUAGUGAAAAUAUGUACAAUAACUUCAAUACAAUUUACACAAAAAACAAGGUUGUUAAGCAAUCCUUUCUUACCCACUGUGUACAUAGAGUUCACCUCUCCAACACGGCUAAAUAUUUUUGAGAUUGCAGCCAUAUGCAAAGCAAUAUAAAAAUUAUGCAAAAGUUGUAGGUACUCUAAAUAAUGAAAAAGAAAUCCAUGUCAUAUACUUUACAUGUUUAGGGGUUGUGAUGAGUUGAAUAAAAUUUAGGUAACUUGUAUUCUACUAUCUUGUUAUUGACCUGCAUUUACACACAAGAUCUAUAUAACACAGAUUUUUAUGCAUGAAGACUCUACGUGUGAACUGAAUAUGGGACUUUUGUUCAUUCCGUGCUAUGACCGUUCUAUUUGGUGCUUGUUGCGGUUUUGGGUGUGAUGAUUUGGUUUGGUGUUAUAUUUUUGUGUUUAGUCUUGAUUUUUGGUUGAAUAUUUCUUUUCCGUCUGAUGUGGCAUGUUGAGAUGUAUAAAUAUUCCUAUUUGAUGGUUGUUUUUCUAAUUCAUGACAUAUGACUACACAUGUAAACUGAGUUUUGGAUUUUUUUGUUCUUUCUGAGCUACGAUAAUAAGCAAUGGUGAGAUUUAUUGUCUUAAAAUUCAACUUCUUCUGUGUUUCAUGUGGACUAUUAUAAAGUUAUGCAACUUGCCCAUAGGGAUUGAAACUUCUUUUCUCUGUUAGGGUGAAACCGGAGUUAAAUAUGCACCUAAAGGGAAUUUGAUCUCUCUUGUCUGUGUAAACUCUUCUGUGAAGCAAUACACAGAAGGAGAAAAGAAAGAAACUGCAGCUCCAUAACUAAACUCUUCAGUUAUUCUCCUCUGCGACAGUCUGUAUCUACACCUCCCUAUUCAAAAGAUUUAGCAAGAACCUAUUCUUGAAGAAACCACAAAGCAAAUAUAAGCGAUUAAAAUGUUUAUAAACAAGGAAUACGAAGAGAGUUUAGUUGUUUAAAGUGUCCCUUUAGGACAUGCCACAAUUCUUUUUUUUCUUUUGUAAUGAGAUAGAAAAAUACAAUGUUUUACAAAAAGGAGUGCUAAAUCUUUAGGCGGUGUUUCUUAUUUUUUUGUA
Solanum pennellii is the source of this 6574-nucleotide long non-coding RNA. RefSeq lists it as uncharacterized. The record is from RefSeq and is a predicted model, not a curated record. Lineage: Eukaryota; Viridiplantae; Streptophyta; Magnoliopsida; Solanales; Solanaceae. The transcript is spliced from 3 exons.